Molecule: ribosomal RNA, 327 nt
Filed under: Triticum aestivum (bread wheat)
Lineage: Eukaryota; Viridiplantae; Streptophyta; Magnoliopsida; Poales; Poaceae
Description: partial small subunit ribosomal RNA
Source: RNAcentral
AUGCAUUGGCAAGCUUGGGAGAAAAUGGCAAUCCCCGAGUCAAAGGGUGGCAUGGGCUUUAGGGAUAUGGAAGUUUUCAAUGAUGCAAUGUUGGCCAAAUUGGCUUGGAGACUGUUGGAAUCUCCAAACAACUUGUGUGCGCAGGUACUGAAAGGGCGAUACUCCCCGGAUGGUGAGUUCCUUUCGGCCAGCUGCCCAACGAGUGCCUCACGAACUUGGAAGGCAAUCAUGUGUGGGCGUGAGAUCCUCAAGGCGGGGAUUAUUCGACGAAUUGGAGAUGGUGCGAAGACGGGAAUAUGGCAUGAUAAUUGGAUUGAGGGCACAUGA